ACAGUUUGAUUCUGGCUCAGGACGAACGCUGGCGGCGUGCUUAACACAUGCAAGUCGAGCGAUGAAGCACCUUCGGGUGUGGAUUAGCGGCGAACGGGUGAGGAACACGUGAAGAAUCUGCCUUCAACUCUGGGAUAACUCCGGGAAACCGGGGCUAAUACCGGAUAUGAGCCUUGGCCGCAUGGCCGGGGCUGGAAAGUUUUUCGGUUGAAGAUGACUUCGCGGCCUAUCAGCUUGUUGGUGAGGUAACGGCUCACCAAGGCGACGACGGGUAGCCGGCCUGAGAGGGCGACCGGCCACACUGGGACUGAGACACGGCCCAGACUCCUACGGGAGGCAGCAGUGGGGAAUAUUGGGCAAUGGAGGAAACUCUGACCCAGCGACGCCGCGUGAGGGAUGAAGGCCUUCGGGUUGUAAACCUCUUUCAGUAGGGAAGAAGCGAAAGUGACGGUACCUACAGAAGAAGCACCGGCUAACUAUGUGCCAGCAGCCGCGGUAAUACAUAGGGUGCAAGCGUUGUCCGGAAUUAUUGGGCGUAAAGAGCUCGUAGGUGGUUCGAUACGUCGGAUGUGAAAAUCAGGGGCUCAACCCCUGACCUGCAUUCGAUACGGGCAAACUAGAGUUUGGUAGGGGAGACUGGAAUUCCUGGUGUAGCGGUGGAAUGCGCAGAUAUCAGGAGGAACACCGAUGGCGAAGGCAGGUCUCUGGGCCAAUACUGACACUGAGGAGCGAAAGCGUGGGGAGCGAACAGGAUUAGAUACCCUGGUAGUCCACGCCGUAAACGGUGGGCGCUAGUUGUGCGAACCUUCCACGGUUUGUGCGACGCAGCUAACGCAUUAAGCGCCCCGCCUGGGGAGUACGGUCGCAAGACUAAA
This 875-nucleotide ribosomal RNA is filed under the name uncultured Micrococcineae bacterium. RNAcentral's name for it is "bacterial SSU rRNA". It matches the Rfam family "Bacterial small subunit ribosomal RNA", at positions 8 to 898 of the family's 1533-position model. Lineage: Bacteria; Bacillati; Actinomycetota; Actinomycetes; Micrococcales. The record is from RNAcentral.